Molecule: ribosomal RNA, 253 nt
Filed under: uncultured bacterium
Lineage: Bacteria
Description: partial 16S ribosomal RNA
Rfam family: Bacterial small subunit ribosomal RNA
Source: RNAcentral
UACGGAGGGUGCAAGCGUUAUCCGGAUUUACUGGGCUUAAAGGGUGUGUAGGCGGACUUUUAAGUCCGUGGUGAAAUCUCCGGGCUCAACCCGGAAACUGCCAUGGAUACUAUUGGUCUUGAAUGUUGUUGAGGUGGGCGGAACGGGUCAUGUAGCGGUGAAAUGCAUAGAUAUGACCCGGAACACCGAUUGCGAAGGCAGCCCACUAAGCAAUGAUUGACGCUGAGGCACGAAAGCGUGGGGAUCAAACAGG